CCCUACCCCAGAUUGAAACGCAAAGCAUUUUGGAAAAAAAAUAUAGAAUUCUUAAAGCAAAAAAGCGACCAACGGAAGCUCUUUUUGGUUUGUAGAAUUCUUUUUUUUGCCCAAAAUCUUGUAGUGAAAAGCUGGAAAAAGG
This 142-nucleotide small RNA is filed under the name Flavobacterium lacus. RNAcentral's name for it is "Flavo-1 RNA". It matches the Rfam family "Flavo-1 RNA". The record is from RNAcentral. Lineage: Bacteria; Pseudomonadati; Bacteroidota; Flavobacteriia; Flavobacteriales; Flavobacteriaceae.